GGCCGAGGCAGCAGAACAGGACCAGACAAGGCCGGCCAUCAGGAUGGCCUCCUGAACCCCAAGGCCACAUGGAGCUGUUCUCCCCCAUCUCUUCAUCACUUCAUUCAGUCCUGCACACACCUGUGUCUGUACGUUGAGCCAUUGAUUCACUUUGAGAUACAUACAUAGAGCUCUGACUGCAUACAGAACACUACGCGGGCCAGAAACGAGAAACUAAGCAGCCCAAGUAGAGAGAUAAGUGUCUUUGGUAUUAAUGACUCUAAUCAAGGCAGCAGUCUUCAAAACUCAGGAGAAAAGGGUGCUUUGAGGGAGGCACAGUGCUCCAGGGUGGUUGGAGGUCCCAGUUGACAGAGGACAAGGUGACAAAGGAAAACUCCAGUGGGAAGGUGCGAGGGAAAGGGUGAAGAAGGAAGGGACUUUACAUUCUGGAUCAAAGCCCAGAGUGGAGUGGACUGUGGUCUGUCUCAUGUCCCUGAAUGUUUGAACAUUUACUAAGCCCUCCUUCUGGACCGAAGCUUCUGUACCUGGCUUGGUUGAGAGCUUCCAGCCUCGAUAGCUGUCAAUGUGGGGCACAUUAACAUGGCAGAAUCUGAGAGGCAGAGGUUGGAAGCAGUUGCAGCAUGCACCUCUCUAGUCCUCUUUAGGAAACAAAUCACCAUUUUACAAAUGCAGAGAUUAAGGCCAAGAGAGAGAAUGUAGCCAAACCUCUCUAAUAAUCCCAGCAGUGAAUUCUAUCACUGGUCACUCACUGAAAUAUGAACCCACGUCUGUUUGCCCUGAAGAUCAUGCCUUUUCCUUAUGGCUGUGGGAAGUUCAGGAGGCUACCUGGGACAGGAAAUGAAGAAUGGAUUCUAUCGUCAGCCAGGCUGAGGUUCAGAUCCAAG
Molecule: long non-coding RNA, 884 nt
Filed under: Cricetulus griseus (Chinese hamster)
Lineage: Eukaryota; Metazoa; Chordata; Mammalia; Rodentia; Cricetidae
Description: lncRNA (ENSCGRG00015031079.1)
Source: RNAcentral